Molecule: long non-coding RNA, 852 nt
Organism: Alnus glutinosa
Lineage: Eukaryota; Viridiplantae; Streptophyta; Magnoliopsida; Fagales; Betulaceae
Exons: 3
Source: RefSeq, a predicted model, not a curated record
AAUUAGCUACUAAUUUCCUUUUCAUCUUCUCUGUGCUAGCUAUUAUGCAUCCUACUAAGAAUACCGAUCCUAAAUCAGCUUCUCAACUACACCUGAGCAAAUGGUCCAGUGGACCGUGUGGUUGCUUCGAAGAUUGCUCCAGUUGCUGCCUUACCUGCUUUGCUCCCUUCAUCACAUUUGGCCGCAUUGCUGAGAUCCUGGACGAGGGUCGAACGUGUCAGUAAAUUCUACUCAUCUUAUUCAUCGAAAAAAAAAAAAUUCUACUCAUCUUCUUUUAAUUAAAUAGAAAGAAUAAUUAGAAGUUGGCCGGAUGUCGUAGAAUAACUUUGAUAUUAUACUUUUUGGAGCAUGUGGUUCCGCCACCCUACACUUCUUCGCCCUUGCCCAUUUGGGUGUUGUAUGUUUUUACACGUGCUCAUACCGAACCAAACUGAGAGCCAGGUUUUCGUUGCCGAAAAAACCGUGUGGGGAUUUCUGUGUCCAUUUUUUCUGCAUUUGUUGUGCUAUUUGUCAAGAAUACCGCGAACUCAAGCACCGUGGAUUGGACCCUUCGAAAGGUUAGGUAUUCAAUUCUCGAAGAAUGGAGGGUGGAGCCACAACACCUCCAUCUAUCACACUAGGCAUGACUCGUUGAGGCUUCCAUGGGUUUCUCCUUGGGUAUUCAAUGCUCGGAGAAGUAAAGAGAAUAAUAAAAUAUUGUUGGAUGACUGCAUCUUAGUAGUGUGAAUGUAGGCUACGAAGUGUAAGAAAUAUUAGAUUUCUAAUAUGUAUAUUAAAGUGUGGUUAGAGACGCAAGUAAGUGGCCUGGUACCUCUAAAAAAAAUAUAUUAAAAAGGUAUUUUAAUUUUUAAA